CAGCCGCCGCGGGAAUACGUAGGGUGCAAGCGUUAAUCGGAAUUACUGGGCGUAAAGCGUGCGUAGGCGGUUUGUUAAGUCUGCUGUGAAAUCCCCGGGCUCAACCUGGGAACUGCAUUUGUGACUGGCAAGCUAGAGUCUGGCAGAGGGGGGUGGAAUUCCGCGUGUAGCAGUGAAAUGCGUAGAUAUGCGGAGGAACACCGAUGGCGAAGGCAGCCCCCUGGGCCAACGCUGACGCUCAUGCACGAAAGCGUGGGGAGCAAACAGGAUUAGAUACCCCAGUAGUCCCUGUCUCUUAUAC
RNAcentral lists this ribosomal RNA (301 nucleotides) under uncultured bacterium. RNAcentral's name for it is "partial 16S ribosomal RNA". It matches the Rfam family "Bacterial small subunit ribosomal RNA", at positions 509 to 807 of the family's 1533-position model. The record is from RNAcentral.